This 165-nucleotide ribosomal RNA is filed under the name Ononis viscosa subsp. breviflora. Its description in RNAcentral is "5.8S ribosomal RNA". It matches the Rfam family "5.8S ribosomal RNA". Rfam says of the family: 5.8S ribosomal RNA (5.8S rRNA) is a component of the large subunit of the eukaryotic ribosome. It is transcribed by RNA polymerase I as part of the 45S precursor that also contains 18S and 28S rRNA. Functionally, it is thought that 5.8S rRNA may be involved in ribosome translocation. RNAcentral also lists the same sequence under 1 other name. Lineage: Eukaryota; Viridiplantae; Streptophyta; Magnoliopsida; Fabales; Fabaceae. The record is from RNAcentral.
UAUAAUGACUCUCGGCAACGGAUAUCUAGGCUCUUGCAUCGAUGAAGAACGUAGCGAAAUGCGAUACUUGGUGUGAAUUGCAGAAUCCCGUGAACCAUCGAGUCUUUGAACGCAAGUUGCGCCCAAUGCCAUUAGGUUGAGGGCACGUCUGCCUGGGUGUCACAU